GACGAACGCUGGCGGCGUGCCUAAUACAUGCAAGUUGAGCGCUGAAGGUUGGUACUUGUACCAACUGGAUGAGCAGCGAACGGGUGAGUAACGCGUGGGGAAUCUGCCUUUGAGCGGGGGACAACAUUUGGAAACGAAUGCUAAUACCGCAUAAAAACUUUAAACACAAGUUUUAAGUUUGAAAGAUGCAAUUGCAUCACUCAAAGAUGAUCCCGCGUUGUAUUAGCUAGUUGGUGAGGUAAAGGCUCACCAAGGCGAUGAUACAUAGCCGACCUGAGAGGGUGAUCGGCCACAUUGGGACGGAGACACGGCCCAAACGCCUACGGGAGGCAGCAGUAGGGAAUCUUCGGCAAUGGGCGAAAGUCUGACCGAGCAACGCCGCGGGAGUGAAGAAGGUUGUCGGGUCGUAAAACUCGGUUGGUAGGGAAGAACGUUGGUGAGAGUGGAAAGCUCAUCAAGUGACGGUAACUACCCAGAAAGGGACGGCUAACUACGUG
This 497-nucleotide ribosomal RNA is filed under the name uncultured bacterium. RNAcentral describes it as "partial 16S ribosomal RNA". It matches the Rfam family "Bacterial small subunit ribosomal RNA", at positions 28 to 507 of the family's 1533-position model. The record is from RNAcentral.